GUCAAACAUUCAUCUGUCGUUACCGCUCUUUUUCUGCGUUCUCGUGUCGUAUCGCAUCCAUGUCUCCCAUUUCCCGUCUCGUCGUUCACAGAGAUCUCGAUAGUUGCGGAACACGUGCAUUAAGAUUUCGUAAGCCGUAGAUCAUUGAAUGAUUCGAAAGACGCAACGUAAAACGUGACAUGCGUGCACACAUGCAUACAUACCGACACUUCUAUAGGAGAAAAAGCUAACAAUUUUCCCGAGAAACGUGUCAAUUAUACGUAAAGACGGUCAAAGAUUUCGAAUUUGAAACAGCGUGUAUCGCGGUUCUCUAACGUUCGAUUUCUUUUCCUUGUCCUUCCGUUGCAUUCCGUUUCGUUUCGUUUCGCAUCGUUUGAAUUAUCGGCGUGCGGCGCGAUUACACACAGAAACUUUCUUCCUUUUUUCUUGCUCGUCUCGCGAUCGAAUCGUCAGAUAUGGAAAAAAAAAUAAUCGAUCCGACCUAAUACAUUUUAAUGUAGUUAAAAUAAUCACACAGCUGUAAGAUAAAAGAGAAAGAAAAGAAGAAAGAGUAUGUGAAAAAUUGAACGAGGAACGUUCUGUUCCUAUGACAUGUAUAUCGCUGUCUAUCCAGCCGAUCGUUCGGCUGGUUCGUAUACGGUACACGGUAUACAGUACGCAAUUACGAUUAUUGCGUGGCAAGUAACGCAUCUGUAUCGUAUACGUAUGCUUCAAGUAUAUACAUCGGUGCUUUUCUAUCGAUACACAUGUGAAACAUUGCUCUUCGAAUAACGAACACAUUGCUUUACAGAAAGAGGCGUCACUCUAUUCUACGUCGUAAUGAGACUGUAUGGAUUUACAUAGCAGUUAAGCGUCGAUAAAGAAUAAUCCAAGUAAAGAUACAGAUUCGAAUGAUUCGCGAUAACGAACGAAAUCUUGAGAAAAAAAAAAAAUAAAAGAGAAAAAAAGAAAAAAGAAAGAGAAGAAGUAGUAAGCGGUGAGAAAAGAAAGAAUAAAAAGAAAGAACGAGACAACGGAAGAGAACAAAAUGGAUAAAAUACGAAAUUAGAAUGUGUGGACCAUGGUAUUAUGGUAUGUAGCAACGUACCUCACUACUGGGUGCUUGGGAGGUACGGAUGGGUCCAUGGGGCUGAAAUAACAAAACAAAGCAUUUCAGGGCAAUAUAAAUAGAAACGAAGGUUAAUCGAGUGCUUGUUACUCGUCUACGAUGGUCAUACAUGUUGUCAAUGGUACAAAAAUACGUCCACGUCCAUUUCCUGUCUCAAACGUUCGAGCAUCUACAGUUCGAACUAAAGCUAAUUGCACGCAACGCUUUUAACAAAAACAAUAUAUCGUACAACGCACACGUAGAAUAAUCGAAUUGCUUUUGAAUAGAGGAUUGAGAAAUAAAUUGAUACAACACAUGUAUAAGGCAGUUUUAACAUAUUUAUUAAUAUGAAAUUAUUACUAUUAUUGCUUCUUAAAAUUAUUUUAAAUAAUAUUUCUAUUCACUUUCUAUUAGCUAUUUACUGCCCUCCGUAUCGUAAAGAUCUAAAGUAAUCGCCUUUCAGAUAGAUCCAUGAAAAUGAUCGGUUCUCGGUCAAAGAUCCAUCGACGAAAGGGGGGGAAAAAUCAAGAAAAAAGAAAAAAAGAGAAAAGAAAAAUGCCAGACGUUUGAACAGUUGGAUGAGAGCUGGAGUGCAGCAAAGAGCAUUUAAUAUCAUUUACAGAUGUGCUAUAUUGGUAAAUCUUGCGUAUAAAAUCUUGCGUUGUUGGUGUCAUUUCUCUUUUCCUUUAUCCCUCCUCUAUCUUUAUACGUAUUACAAUAUACACGACAAAUUCGAGAUGCUUAAA
Molecule: long non-coding RNA, 1833 nt
Organism: Bombus impatiens (common eastern bumble bee)
Lineage: Eukaryota; Metazoa; Arthropoda; Insecta; Hymenoptera; Apidae
Exons: 2
Source: RefSeq, a predicted model, not a curated record